GACGAACGCUGGCGGCGUGCUUAACACAUGCAAGUCGAACGGAAAGGCCCUGCUUUUGUGGGGUGCUCGAGUGGCGAACGGGUGAGUAACACGUGAGUAACCUGCCCUUGACUUUGGGAUAACUUCAGGAAACUGGGGCUAAUACCGGAUAGGAGCUCCUGCUGCAUGGUGGGAGUUGGAAAGUUUCGGCGGUUGGGGAUGGACUCGCGGCUUAUCAGCUUGUUGGUGGGGUAGUGGCUUACCAAGGCUUUGACGGGUAGCCGGCCUGAGAGGGUGACCGGCCACAUUGGGACUGAGAUACGGCCCAGACUCCUACGGGAGGCAGCAGUGGGGAAUAUUGCACAAUGGGCGGAAGCCUGAUGCAGCAACGCCGCGUGCGGGAUGACGGCCUUCGGGUUGUAAACCGCUUUCGCCUGUGACGAAGCGUGAGUGACGGUAAUGGGUAAAGAAGCACCGGCUAACUACGUGCCAGCAGCCGCGGUGAUACGUAGGGUGCGAGCGUUGUCCGGAUUUAUUGGGCGUAAAGGGCUCGUAGGUGGUUGAUCGCGUCGGAAGUGUAAUCUUGGGGCUUAACCCUGAGCGUGCUUUCGAUACGGGUUGACUUGAGGAAGGUAGGGGAGAAUGGAAUUCCUGGUGGAGCGGUGGAAUGCGCAGAUAUCAGGAGGAACACCAGUGGCGAAGGCGGUUCUCUGGGCCUUUCCUGACGCUGAGGAGCGAAAGCGUGGGGAGCGAACAGGCUUAGAUACCCUGGUAGUCCACGCUGUAAACGGUGGGUACUAGGUGUGGGGUCCAUUCCACGGGUUCCGUGCCGUAGCUAACGCUUUAAGUACCCCGCCUGGGGAGUACGGCCGCAAGGCUAAAACUCAAAGGAAUUGACGGGGCCCCGCACAAGCGGCGGAGCAUGCGGAUUAAUUCGAUGCAACGCGUAGAACCUUACCUGGGUUUGACAUGGAUCGGGAGUGCUCAGAGAUGGGUGUGCCUCUUUUGGGGUCGGUUCACAGGUGGUGCAUGGCUGUCGUCAGCUCGUGUCGUGAGAUGUUGGGUUAAGUCCCGCAACGAGCGCAACCCUUGUUCACUGUUGCCAGCACGUUAUGGUGGGGACUCAGUGGAGACCGCCGGGGUCAACUCGGAGGAAGGUGGGGAUGACGUCAAGUCAUCAUGCCCCUUAUGUCCAGGGCUUCACGCAUGCUACAAUGGCUGGUACAGAGAGUGGCGAGCCUGUGAGGGUGAGCGAAUCUCGGAAAGCCGGUCUCAGUUCGGAUUGGGGUCUGCAACUCGACCUCAUGAAGUCGGAGCCGCUAGUAAUCGCAGAUCAGCAACGCUGCGGUGAAUACGUUCCCGGG
Molecule: ribosomal RNA, 1343 nt
Filed under: uncultured bacterium
Lineage: Bacteria
Description: 16S ribosomal RNA
Rfam family: Bacterial small subunit ribosomal RNA
Source: RNAcentral